UGGGAUGUAGCUCAGUAGUAGAGCACUUGCCUAGCAAGCAUGAGGCCCUGGGUUCAAUCCUCAGGGCCACAU
RNAcentral lists this transfer RNA (72 nucleotides) under Ictidomys tridecemlineatus (thirteen-lined ground squirrel). Its description in RNAcentral is "Spermophilus tridecemlineatus (thirteen-lined ground squirrel) tRNA". It matches the Rfam family "tRNA". From Rfam's summary of the family: Transfer RNA (tRNA) molecules are approximately 80 nucleotides in length. Their secondary structure includes four short double-helical elements and three loops (D, anti-codon, and T loops). Lineage: Eukaryota; Metazoa; Chordata; Mammalia; Rodentia; Sciuridae. The record is from Rfam by way of RNAcentral.